Biomphalaria pfeifferi is the source of this 211-nucleotide non-coding RNA. The record is from the annotation of a GenBank genome assembly. Lineage: Eukaryota; Metazoa; Mollusca; Gastropoda; Planorbidae.
GGUAAGAAUAUAAAAUGCUUCUUAAUGGCAUGCAUCUCUAAUAGCCUUUGACAAUCAGCCCAACUCCUGGCCUUCAUGUGCGGCUCAGAUAUUGGGUCUGCCAGAACUAAUGUCAUUAACAUGAGUAACUUAAACCAGUAAGCUUCAUGCAGGAAGGCUUUGACCGGCUACCAAACUAGAUGAAGGGUUCAAACCUCUGCUGCCUUACAAC